Molecule: ribosomal RNA, 1488 nt
Filed under: uncultured organism
Description: 16S ribosomal RNA
Rfam family: Bacterial small subunit ribosomal RNA
Source: RNAcentral
CUGGCGGCGUGCCUAAUACAUGCAAGUCGAACGAGUUCUGAUUAUUGAAAGGUGCUUGCAUCUUGAUUUAAUUUUGAACGAGUGGCGGACGGGUGAGUAACACGUGGGUAACCUGCCCUUAAGUGGGGGAUAACAUUUGGAAACAGAUGCUAAUACCGCAUAAAUCCAAAAACCGCAUGGUUCUUGGCUGAAAGAUGGCGUAAGCUAUCGCUUUUGGAUGGACCCGCGGCGUAUUAGCCAGUUGGUGAGGUAACGGCUCACCAAGGCAAUGAUACGUAGCCGAACUGAGAGGUUGAUCGGCCACAUUGGGACUGAGACACGGCCCAAACUCCUACGGGAGGCAGCAGUAGGGGAUCUUCCACAAUGGACGCAAGUCUGAUGGAGCAACGCCGCGUGAGUGAAGAAGGCUUUCGGGUCGUAAAACUCUGUUGUUGGAGAAGAAUGGUCGGCAGAGUAACUGUUGUCGGCGUGACGGUAUCCAACCAGAAAGCCACGGCUAACUACGUGCCAGCAGCCGCGGUAAUACGUAGGUGGCAAGCGUUAUCCGGAUUUAUUGGGCGUAAAGCGAGCGCAGGCGGUUUUUUAAGUCUGAUGUGAAAGCCCUCGGCUUAACCGAGGAAGUGCAUCGGAAACUGGGAAACUUGGGUGCAGAAGAGGACAGUGGAACUCCAUGUGUAGCGGUGAAAUGCGUAGAUAUAUGGAAGAACACCAGUGGCGAAGGCGGCUGUCUGGUCUGUAACUGACGCUGAGGCUCGAAAGCAUGGGUAGCGAACAGGAUUAGAUACCCUGGUAGUCCAUGCCGUAAGCGAUGAAUGCUAGGUGUUGGAGGGUUUCCGCCCUUCAGUGCCGCAGCUAACGCAUUAAGCAUUCCGCCUGGGGAGUACGACCGCAAGGUUGAAACUCAAAGGAAUUGACGGGGGCCCGCACAAGCGGUGGAGCAUGUGGUUUAAUUCGAAGCAACGCGAAGAACCUUACCAGGUCUUGACAUCUUUUGAUCACCUGAGAGAUCAGGUUUCCCCUUCGGGGGCAAAAUGACAGGUGGUGCAUGGUUGUCGUCAGCUCGUGUCGUGAGAUGUUGGGUUAAGUCCCGCAACGAGCGCAACCCUUAUGACUAGUUGCCAGCAUUUAGUUGGGCACUCUAGUAAGACUGCCGGUGACAAACCGGAGGAAGGUGGGGAUGACGUCAAAUCAUCAUGCCCCUUAUGACCUGGGCUACACACGUGCUACAAUGGAUGGUACAACGAGUUGCGAGACCGCGAGGUCAAGCUAAUCUCUUAAAGCCAUUCUCAGUUCGGACUGUAGGCUGCAACUCGCCUACACGAAGUCGGAAUCGCUAGUAAUCGCGGAUCAGCACGCCGCGGUGAAUACGUUCCCGGGCCUUGUACACACCGCCCGCCACACCAUGAGAGUUUGUAACACCCGAAGCCGGUGGCGUAACCCUUUUAGGGAGCGAGCCGUCUAAGGUGGGACAAAUGAUUAGGGUGAAGU